GUCUCCCCCCUCCAGUCAGUGAAACUGAUCUCUCCGUGAAGAAGCGGAGAUACGCAUAUAAGACGAGAAGACCCCAUGGAGCUUUAAACCCAACAACACCCGCCUCCCUUAAACCCUAUUAUCAGCCCGGCGAUUGUUUGCUUGGUUUUAGGUUGGGGUGACCACGGAGUACAAAACAUCCUCCAUGAAAAAAAGCUAACUGCCCUUAUUAGAGAAAGACAUUUCCAAAAAAUAACAAAUUAAUUUUUAAUGACCCGAUAUUCGAUCAACGAACCAAGUUACCCUGGGGAUAACAGCGCAAUCCGCCCCGAGAGCCCCUAUCGACAGGCGGGUUUACGACC
Molecule: ribosomal RNA, 341 nt
Filed under: Boophis roseipalmatus
Lineage: Eukaryota; Metazoa; Chordata; Amphibia; Anura; Mantellidae
Description: partial 16S ribosomal RNA
Rfam family: Bacterial large subunit ribosomal RNA
Source: RNAcentral